AGCGAACGCUGGUGGCAGGCUUAACACAUGCAAGUCGAGCGGGCGUAGCAAUACGUCAGCGGCAGACGGGUGAGUAACGCGUGGGAACGUACCUUUGGUUCGGAACAACACAGGGAAACUUGUGCUAAUACCGGAUAAGCCCUUACGGGGAAAGAUUUAUCGCCGAAAGAUCGGCCCGCGUCUGAUUAGCUAGUUGGUAGGGUAAUGGCCUACCAAGGCGACGAUCAGUAGCUGGUCUGAGAGGAUGAUCAGCCACAUUGGGACUGAGACACGGCCCAAACUCCUACGGGAGGCAGCAGUGGGGAAUAUUGGACAAUGGGGGCAACCCUGAUCCAGCCAUGCCGCGUGAGUGAUGAAGGCCCUAGGGUUGUAAAGCUCUUUUGUGCGGGAAGAUAAAUGACGGUACCGCAAGAAUAAGCCCCGGCUAACUUCGUGCCAGCAGCCGCGGUAAU
RNAcentral lists this ribosomal RNA (452 nucleotides) under uncultured bacterium. RNAcentral's name for it is "bacterial SSU rRNA". It matches the Rfam family "Bacterial small subunit ribosomal RNA", at positions 29 to 524 of the family's 1533-position model. The record is from RNAcentral.